UCGUGCACGACCGGGCCCCUUCAAACGGAACGGAAAUCUCUCUGCACUCUUGAAAAUCAUGGUGAGAUUUCCGGUGAAAAAAACGAAAAAAUUAAAACACAAAAAUCGUCAGAAAAACCCGUGUUAUUGUACCGAUAAAUUCGUCGCCGGGUCCAAAUUGCUCCGCGAGAACAAAAAAAAAAAAAAAAUUGGCAACCAGUUCAAAUAACAUCGCACUAAAAUAUCGCGUUUAUGCGUAUUGUAAAAUGUAACGCAAAUAUUCGAUAUUCGUUAUCGUGUUUUAUUUCUGUAUAACAGGUCGAUAACAAUGUUUACGCAUAAUAUAAUGUUUACAGCAGGUAAAAACAACUUUCGUGUCGUUAAUAAUUGGUCUGCGCACUUGAGGAGUGAAAAUCGUCCGC
Molecule: non-coding RNA, 401 nt
Organism: Cinara cedri
Lineage: Eukaryota; Metazoa; Arthropoda; Insecta; Hemiptera; Aphididae
Source: the annotation of a GenBank genome assembly